CUCCCUCCUACAGCACCACCCACAGGCACGGCUAGUGUUGGCGGCGUGUCUCCGGGCGUCCGAGUACAGACAGUAGAGCGCGGAAGGGUGACUGGAGGGGGAGAAGGUGGUGGAGGUAGUGGUGGAGGAGAAGGGGGAGGAGAAGGAGGUGGUGGAGACCUUCAGCUGCAAGACCAGGAGACUCAACAACCCGGGGGCAUCAUCGACAAGGAGGCCAGCCUGGAGGGAUUCGUCAAGAGUCCAUCAGAGAGCGACGCCCUGCUGCAGUCCUGCUCACACCACUAGUAAUGGAGAGAUGAGGGCUUCGUGAGGUUUCUGGGCCACAAUCCCCCCCCCACCGCCACCCCUGAGCCCUAAGCCUCAGGCUACAUCUGCGGCGGCACCACGACCGCUGAGUUCGGAGAAGCAGCGACGAGACUUGUUGAGCGUGGAGGCUGCUCGGGGGCCGAGCGGCGUGGCCGGAACGCUCAGUCGGGAGUUCAAUCUUAACAUAGCCAAACGUUACCUGAUUCAUAGUUUCAGAUAGAACUUGAUCAAUCAAAGAUUACGGUGAAAAUAUUCUGUGUAGGUGUAAUGAAAUAAUGAAGACAUGGUGGAUUUUUUUUUUUAUCAGAUUAAUCAGUAGAAGAAAAUCGGGACAUAAACUAAAAUUUAAAUGAUUUAAGUUGGUCAGCGAACAGUUCUGUUAAUGCUGAGAAAACUCACAACACUGGGAUGGGUUUUUUUUUUUUAUUAUUUUUAGUAUUGUUGGUUAGCAGUUUGUGGUGAAAACUUCGUGUUCUAACAUACAUAUGCUGCAUGAAAAUGAAUGCUCUAAAUGUUUCUUCUAUAACCUGAUACUUCAGAAGCAGACAUAUAUAAUUAUCUACAGAUGCAUGGAGAACUCUUGGGUCCUAUAAGAACUCGGAAAGUUGACCGUGGAACGGGAUCGGUUGUGUUGUAACAGUGGGUGAUACCACUCUGUGAUGCCGGAAGGUGUUGCUGACAACGCGGAACUGUCGGUGGAAUGUGUGUAUGAGAGUGUGUGUGUAGGGGAAUGCUGUCAGACAAACGAAAGAAAGGGUCUGCGAGAACUCCACGAAGACACCGCGUGCUGCGUCUUGGUGCCGAGGCAUGAAGGUUUUCAUUAACAAGUUCACUUAUUGGCGAAUAGGUGACUGAGAAAGUUGAGACUCAGUGCGUUUGUAAAAUCUCUUUUUCCACUUUUCACUAAAUAAACACUGCUAUUUGAUAUUUACUGCAGCGUGCUGUGUUGCGUCUAGUUGAUGUAGUGGGGCGGAAGCGGCGGUGAUCAGCGAGGCGUCCUUAGUUGAGUGCGUCGCAGGACAACUUCAGUGGUUGUCUGAACAGUGUGGGUUUGCUGGGCAUGGUUUGAGCUUGCUAAAUGUGCUGCGUGUUGUCCGCAUUCUACAUUUUUAUCUCUUGCAUGUCAGUCUCUCUUCUCUUUGGGGUAUGCUACAGACUGGAGUGUAAUGUAAAGCGACUCUACCCGCCAAGACGUGUUGUAACGCAGUGCACAGUGGACGGCCGCCACCCGCCGCUCGCACCCCACUGCACCAGCCUGGCGCGUCGCCCCUCCCGAGGCUGAGUUGGACUGGUGACGCAGUGUACUGUUAUAGUGGCUAUUCGAGCAUUGCAUUUAUACCCAGUUUCUACUGUUCCGGUCUGCCGUGCAGACUUUUAUUACAAACUAAUUUCAAAUAAUAUUUUUAUAUGCAGUUUGCAUAAACACACAAGAAACAUGUGCUUGUCAUUAACGCGUGUGGAAACAUACCUGGUCAGCACGAGCCGCAGGUGCCCCGGCCGACGCUCAAACCGCCGCGGAGUGAGAGCCUGCCUGCCACUCACCACUGAAGCUGACCUGCGGUGACAGCAGUGUGUCGGCUGCCAAACAAUGGUGGCGGCACAGCACUGCAGCUGUAGACCAUGGAGCCCUCGCAGGGCCUACACUAUCAGGGUCGUGGCGGCCCGGGUCCAGCGUACAGCAGCCGACGGCGUCUCCUCCGGGCCCUGGCACCCGGCGAGGCUGCACAGCAUCGCCACCUCACUCGUGAACCUCAGACACUCACGAGAACAUGAAGCUCCGCCACAUUUAUGUUUUAUAGGACUUUUGACGGAUGGCUGGGGCGCUACUCCCUCGCCCCCCUCUGGCGCCGCCCUAGGGACACGCGGCGCAGUGACUUUUUGCUGGUCUGUACUUAUGACGCCGUUUUCAAUCCGCAUUAAUCGCGCAUAGAAUUUUAGAUUAAAGCACCACUCAAUCAUUCUCUAACUUCCAAAAAGAAAACAUUCAAUACCAGCACAAAUAAAUCUGGAAUAAUUUAUAAGCUUUAUUCGUAAGUAGCACGAAAUAAGAUAAAUUUCUGCAAACAUUUGUUAGUGCUUCAUAACGAGAACCGCGAGCAGUGUUGUCAAGUAUGUGUCCAGUUGGUAUAGACACGCUUCUCCUCGUACGGGCGAACCUGCACCUUACACACCAAUACGCUGCCUUCCGCCUGCCCGUGAGGUGUGUGUGUGUGAAUGUGUAUGUGUGUGUGUGUGUGUGUGUGUGUGUGUGUGUUUAUGUACAUGCGGGAAGCUCGCCAGGACGCCGCUGAAGCCAUAGACGUCACAAAUUGCUUUUACUUUCAUAAAAAUCCCUUUUCGAUAAAAUGCUAAAUAAAGAAUUUACAUUUAUAUUGCGAAAAAAUGUAAAUCACACUCUGUAAUCCUUUUACCUAAGACCUAACAGUUGUAAUUCAUUAACGUGUAUCUGCAAACGUUCCGCUAUUAAUUACUAACAUUAAAUCAUUAUAUUCAGUAUUGAAUAUUCAAUAAAAUUUAAUUUGACAUUCUUACCACAAUUGUAUUUUUUCCGAGUGUCUUGUUCUUCUAUAUUAUUUUUGUUGUUAGCCUCCCAGUGAACUAACGAGGAAGUAUAAGUGUACCGGGUAAGAGAGAGAGAGAGAGAGAGAGAGAGAGAGAGAGAGAGAGAGAGAGAGAGAGAGAGAGAGAGAGAGAGAGAGAGAGAGAGAGAGAGAGAGAGAGAGAGAGAGAGAGAGAGAUUGCAGCUGCAUAAUUGUCAAGAUUGCAGGUGUUGUAAUUAUGAGCAAAAAUUUAUUAGUACUAUGUGUUUGUGUGUGUGUGUGUGUGUGUGUGUGUGUGUGUGUGUUUAAUCUGCUUGCAGGUGUUCUGAUACACAGAAUGUCACGCUUUUUAUAUAACAUAUUAAUCAUUAUUUUAAGGGUGUUGCUAUCGAGAGUAACGCAGACGUUUGUAUACUCACUGUUGCUACUGCUGAAAUCUUUACAAACAUUUUUUUUUAUUAAGAUGAAACCUUCCCUCUCUGUGUACUUUACAUUUCUUAUAUUUUUAUACGGCGCCACCUGUCACCAGCCAGCGAGUGCUAUUCCUCCCUCCGCGCCUUACCUCCACGUUAGUUAUCAUAGCUUUACACACGUGAGCCUCGGCGCCCUCUGACGUUUCCUCCAAGGCCCGUACGUUGUUAUAAAUUAUAAACGUUGACUUCCUCCCCUCGAGGCGGUGCACGCCCCACUCAUUACGCUUCUCCACACGCAAAGAUUUAACUCGCGUUAUUUUAUUUUUUUUCGUAUAUACAAACUUGUCAGAAAGGCACUGAUAUUAUAUAUAUAUAUAUAUAUAUAUAUAUAUAUAUAUAUAUAUAUAUAUAUAUAUAUAUAUAUAUAUAUAUAUAUAUAUAUAUAUAUAUAUAUUAACUAACUCUCGACAGUGAUAAUUUGCCACCGUUUCAUUUGAAUAUUGUUUUUUUCUGCCUUAUCAAACACUGGUCAGGUGAGAGAGACUCACUGGGAAAGUUGUUCCCUCUGCCGCCUCUCACACGCAGGAGGAGGGACAAAGGGAGCCGCUGAGCUGCCCCGGUGUUGCUGGCUGACUCCCGCCUGCCCCGCCCCCUUUGCCCCUCCCCUUCUUUCCUCCUCUACUGGUGACCGAGGCACCACCCCCAGGGGUCGCCGCCCCACAGAAACUUUAAAGGUAGAGGCAUUUAAUUGCCCUGUUACGAGAGCGGCGGCCUGUGAGGUGCGGCUGUGGCUUGGCAGGUGGUCCUGCCACAUGACAAGAUGAUUCGUCAAACUAAAAAUUUACAUUAUUAUUCAGUGUAGUUUUUUUCACGUUGCAGUUUUUGGAAGUCCGUAAGAGGGAGACAUUUUGUACGGCUAUGAUAAUUUAUCUCGAACUUCGAUGAGACAACAGUAUGUCACUCAGAAGAGACUUGAUCACCUUUUUACACUUUUGACUUAUUCAUUACGAAUCUUCACGCAGCUAAUAGCUUCUUGUGUGAGGAUUUUAUACUGCCAUUCUACUUUUUUUUAUUAGGUGAAUUUAGUAUUGGUUUAGGGCAUACAAUUGUAGCACUCUUGUUGACAGGAGAAAAUAAUGUGUGCUUUACGACUGUACAAAUUCCGUGGAAGCACAAAUGUGUCCUCCAGUGUUCCUCAGAGAAUAAACUUUUGGCCGCUUUGGCCUCACA
Eriocheir sinensis (Chinese mitten crab) is the source of this 4489-nucleotide long non-coding RNA. RefSeq lists it as uncharacterized. NCBI's taxonomy places the organism in Eukaryota, Metazoa, Arthropoda, Malacostraca, Decapoda, Varunidae. The transcript is spliced from 2 exons. The record is from RefSeq and is a predicted model, not a curated record.